This 2216-nucleotide long non-coding RNA is filed under the name Linum usitatissimum (flax). Its description in RNAcentral is "long non-coding RNA (LUSI_LNC008234)". The record is from RNAcentral. Lineage: Eukaryota; Viridiplantae; Streptophyta; Magnoliopsida; Malpighiales; Linaceae.
GUUAAGAAUGACAGAAUCACUUAAUUCGAAGGAAGUAGACCCGAAAUGCAUCUCUCAGGCUUUCUGGAACCAGAGGUGUUAACUUGUGUCAGUCAUGUAUAACUGGAUACAUAUUUCUUCAGACUUUUCUUUUAGACCAUUUACUAUUGCCUCAUGUGGAACGUUGAAUGUUUCUUCUAUAUCUUGUUUUUCUAAAUUUCAAUCUGUUUUUCGAAAUUUCAAUCAUUACACUGGUUUGUAUUAAUCAUCUAUUUGAUUCAUGGGAAUGCUAUAGAAGAACCCUUAUAUAAGGCCUGUCUUGUAUGCUUUUGCUAUGGAAAAAUCGAUGUCCCUUGUAUCCAACUCGAGUCUUUUUUUCUGUUGGGAAUGAUCAUAUUUACAGAUUCGUGAUGCUUUAUCUUGUAAAGUGAAGGUCCUAAAAUGGAGUCCUAGAAGGGAACACUGGAAUGGCUGACACUUCGAAAAAUACAUCGUUGGCAUGUUCGUGAAGGAACGCAUAUAGUCAUUCCAGUUGCCCUUCUGCUCUACCUCGAAGACAUAUAUCAACCAUGAGGGUUAUUUUAGAAAGAUUCUAAAGUGGAAGUCCUAAAAUGGAGUCCUAGAGGGGAACACUGGAAUAGCUGACAUUAGUUGCAAAUACAUCGUCGGCAUUUGUAUAUGGAUACUCAUAUAGUCAUUCAGUUGCCUUUCUGCUCCACCUCAAGGAAAUACAUCAACCAUGUGGGUUAUGCUAGUAAGCUGCUGGUCUUAACGUCCUGUUACCUUCGAUAUGAUCAUAUUUACAUAUUUGUGUUGCUUUAUCCUGUAAAGUGAAGGUCCUAAAAUAGAGUCCUAGAAGGGAACACCGGAAUGGCUGACACUUUGAAAAAUACAUCGUUGGCAUGUCCGUGAAGGAACUCAUAUAGUCAUUCCAGUUGUCCUUCUACUCCACCUCGAAGACAUAUAUCAACCAUGAGAGUUAUUUUAGAAAGCUUCUAAAGUGGAAGUCCUAAAAUGGAGAGUCAUAGAGGGGAACAUUGGAAUGGCUGACAUAAGUUACAAAUACAUCGGCAUGUCUAUAAGGAUACUCAUAUAGUCAUUCCAGUUGCCCUUCUGCUCCACCUCAAGGAAAUACAUAAACCAUGUGGGUUAUUCUAGUAAGCUGCUGGUCUGAACGUCCUGUUGCCUUCGAUAUGAUGAUUUUAAGAACUGUCUGAGCAUAGUCAAACGGUUGGUUGGUGGGAGGGCACAUUUUUUAUGCUGCUUCAGAAUCUUUAAGCAUUGAGCUUGAUGUUUAAAUAAUUCUCUUAUGGAUCAUUUUCAUCUCUGAAAUAGCUAAACAAUAUUGUUUUGACCGAUCUUGUUCUGAAGUUGCCAGAAUUUUGAGUAAUUUUUAUCUCAUCAAGUGGUUUAGAUUCAGUUUCAAAUGGUUCAUUUUUUGAAAGGAUGGAAUAGAUUUGGAUUCCAUACCUUCUGUGUCUUAUUUGAUGAAUGUUUUUUACUAGUGGCAAUGUGUGUGGCUGGCUAAUCUACAGUAUUUGCGGGAAACUAACUAUUGAACAAAGAACUGAUUCCUUUGGUUUUCAUUCUUUAUGUCAUUACAUCGUAGGCAAUCUUUUGAUUUGCUCAUAUAUUUAUUCAUGUUGUUUAUGUUGGUAAGCUGCUAAUCUAAAUGUCCUCUCGUGCCAUUUAUAUGAUGAUUUUAUGGACAAACUAUUUGCUCGCCCCUAUGUCCAACUGCAUAGAGAUAUCUUUACAGAGAAUUGAGAUAUCCUUGAGGAAUGACAGAACUCGGUAAUUCUAACAUGUUUCUAUUCGUUGAACAGGAUUGUUACAUUGCAGUUUGUCAGCUACUCUCCAGGUGUUUUUUUGGGGUAGUAUUUCGGGGGAGCCCUUCUGUUGGAAGGUAAUAAGAAUAAAAGUAAUCUCUUUCAAAGAAAUCAAGUAUGUUCUUCCCUUUGAUCUUAUGGGGUGUACUCUUUCCAUGUCCUGACUUGAUCGCCCGCAGAUGGUUUCUGACAACGCAUGGAGACAAAUUCUAAGUGUUCUUUUGGUGAUCUUCAUUUUUCUGCUGCCUCUCGGAACAGUAUUUUCACUUCUGAUUCUGAUUGCAAUUGGUGGUUGUCCUCUUGAAAGGUUGUUAGGGAUUUUACUAUAUAGUGGUUCAAUUUGUGGGCGCCAUUGAUCUUUUUGAUUGGAUGGGAAGCAACUUCAAAGACAUUCGUUUGCUGAUCUUN